RNAcentral lists this ribosomal RNA (460 nucleotides) under Palaemonella rotumana. RNAcentral describes it as "partial large subunit ribosomal RNA". It matches the Rfam family "Archaeal large subunit ribosomal RNA", at positions 2013 to 2673 of the family's 2987-position model. Lineage: Eukaryota; Metazoa; Arthropoda; Malacostraca; Decapoda; Palaemonidae. The record is from RNAcentral.
GUAAUUUGACCGUGCGAAGGUAGCAUAAUCAUUAGCCACUUAAUUAGUGGAUGGAAUGAAGGGCUGGAUGAGGGGUAAGCUGUCUUUUUACUAUAAUUUAAACUUUACUUUUAAGUGAAAAGGCUUUAAUAGUAUAAAGUGAAGAUAAGACCCUAUAAAACUUUAUAAGAUUUUUACUAUAUUUGUUAUAUUUUGGAAAAAGCAAUAUAAUUAAACGUUAUUUUGUUGGGGCGACAGGAAUAAAAUUAAAUAUCUGUUCUUUUAACGUGUUAGUAAUUACUAAUUCAUGAUCCUUUAAUAGAGAUUAAAAGAUUAAGUUACUUUAGGGAUAACAGCGUGAUUUUCUUUGAGAGUUCCUAUCGACAAGAGUAGUUGCGACCUCGAUGUUGAAUUAAAAUUAUUCUGACAAGUGCAGUAGCUUGUCUAGUAAGUCUGUUCGACUUUUAAUAUUUUACAUGAC